UUGAUACUUGAAGGAGAGGUAGUCCGUGUUGUCUUCUCUUUAUUUAUGAUGAAACAUACACGGGAAACCUCUUUUUUAGUAUCAA
Molecule: microRNA precursor, 85 nt
Organism: Mesocricetus auratus (golden hamster)
Lineage: Eukaryota; Metazoa; Chordata; Mammalia; Rodentia; Cricetidae
Source: Ensembl